Molecule: long non-coding RNA, 3569 nt
Filed under: Marmota monax (woodchuck)
Lineage: Eukaryota; Metazoa; Chordata; Mammalia; Rodentia; Sciuridae
Source: RNAcentral
UGAGACAGGGUCUUGUUGAGUUCCUUUAGGGCCUUGCUAAGUUGCUGAGUCUGGCUUUGAACUUGUGAUUCUCUUGCCUCAGCCUCCCAAGCUGCUGGGAUUAAGUUGUGCACCAGUCUCGCCACAACCUGCUCAGUGAUUGAACAGUCCUCGGAAUGCAGGUGGUGGGCUGUAUUAGGAAACUUAGAUAAGAAAUAAAUACAAAGACUCGAAUCUAGGUGAAAAGCGGCCCAGUGGGCAGAUCAGCCCUGAUGGUGAUCUGAUCGCUGACAAAGAGUGAGACUCCAUGUGCUUCAUUUUAUAGGCAAACACAUCAAAAGGAUUUAUUGUGAGAAAAGCUUCUUCAAGAUAAACAAAAGCAGGGCUGUGGGAAAAUAGCCUAAAUGAGGGCUUAAACUUGCCUGGUAUUUCUCCCUUCUCUGGGUAGCUGGUGCCUCAGGCUACUUGGGCACACAGCUAUUUCUUCCACCCCUAGGCACACAGAUAUCUCUUCCACCCCUGGGCAACUGGCAUUUGAUUUUAGGGCUAUUUGAGCCAAUAAAUUCAAUAAACAAGCCAAUAAAUUCAAUAAACGAGCCAAUAAACGAGACACAGAAUCCUUUUUGAGCAGGCAUCACCAGGUGGGCUGCCUUGAAUCAGCAAGAUAUCACCUGGAGUUCUCAGAAGGGCAUCACCUCUGCCUUGAGAUGAUACAAACAAACCCUAAUUCACCCACUGCUCCUGACAUACCAUCACAUCUGGCUCACGCUGGAUCUUUAUGGGUUUACAUGGACACUUAGAAAAUGUGCUUUCUGCUAUUUCUGGUGACAUAUCCUAUUUAUCAGGUCCUCUUAAUGGGUGGUGUAGUUCAGAUCUCUGGUGCCCUUGUCAACCUCCUGCUCCGUAGUUCUACCAGCUGCUGUGAGGGGCCUUGAUGUCCCUGUGUCCUGAUCUCCUUCUCCUUUCAAUUCUAUUUCUCGUACUGUGAGGCUCUGUUGUUUGAUAAGGACUAACACUUCUGAGGAUUUUAAAUACAGAAUAACUUCUUGAAUGCCACGCACCUGUCAUAAAAAUUUUGAGGCUAUAUGCUCCAUUUUUCUCUGGGCCCCAUGGACCUCCUCAUCACCCCAUCCUCAGUGCAGACUGGAAGGGAAGCCCAGGUGCCCCGAGGUCUGCUCUCAGAAACUCACUCCAGUUCAUCAUCUCUGCCCACGGGAAAACCAAAAAGACCAGGGACGCCCUUGGAAAGGACUACGGCAUCCCCUGUGUAAAGUGGGAAUCUCAAAAUAUAAUAUUUUACACUGACCUGGUGCAUUUCUGUUGCUCUAAAAAGAUACCUGAGGCUCAUCAAGGGAAGAGGUUCAUCUGUCUCACGGUUGUGGUCCCAGCAGCCUGUGCUGUUGCUGGUGAGGACCCCCUGGCUGUGUCUCAACAUGGCGGAGAAGUGGAAGGGAAACUGGCCCUGCGAAGAAGGGCCCAAUGAGGGAGGAGACUACCACACAACACCCCGCUGUCACCAGAACUACCUCAACCCCUCCAAGGGCACACCCAUCCUCUCCCGCGAGGCUUCACCUCUUAGAGGCACCCCCUCCUCCACGUUCCACACUGGGGCCAAGCUUCCAGCACAUGGACCUUCAGGAGGCAGGACACCUGCAGAUCACAGCACAGAGUGACGGGUGGACUCAGCUGCCUGCUGUGUGCCGGGGACAGACUUCACACAGGGAGCCUAGGCUGGGUGGUGCCACCAUGGUGACUUCAAAGCUGCCCCUUCCUCUCACACUGAAGGUGUCAGGAUGCAAGGGAGAGGGCGCCAUGCUGCCGGAGGACCUCACCUCCUCCUAAGUCAUCUUUCAGAUGAAGUCGCUCCUUUGAACACUGCUGGUACCAGGAGGCACCACUGCUGGCCACGGCAGCCCCGCUGUGGGCUCCUCUAGAGUGUGCGCUCAGUCCCCGCAACAUGCCUUCCUGAGGGGCCUGGGUGGUCUUCUGGUGGCGAGGUGGCCUGAGAAGAGGGGCACACUCUCUGGAUGCAGGUGGGAUCAGGAACCUGCGGUCUAGUCCUCACCUUACCCCAGGCCCUUGGGCAGCUCAGAUGCCUUUCUCAGCCAUGUGCCCUGCCCCAGGGGCUGCCUUAUAACCUGCCUUAGCCAGAUGUCAGGGUCGUCCAGGACAAGGUUAGGGGCCUUGCGGGCUGGUGCUGGUGAGGGGCAGGAGUGGGAGGAGGGGCCAGGAUAAGAGGGCACGGGUAGACGGGGUGGGGCCCCAUUACCACUGCAGGUCACACGUAUCCUUUCCCUCUGGGCCCCGUCUGCACAUUGACGCUGUGUGUAGGGGCGAGGAGGACACGUGGGCUGGACUGGGCUGCUUCCUCGCCUGGUACCUGAGAUCUAUGAGAUACAGGCGCGCUCAGCGUCGUCACCUUGGGCCUGUGUUUGAAUUCAGGGACGGGGUGAGGAACAGUCACAGAGCAAGUGUGUCAGUGGGGCGGGGGCCCGGGCACCCCAAAGUCAAACACCCUCUGCAUCUUGCCUGACUCACUGAAGGAGGGGAGGCACUUUCAUUCCCUCUCUGCUUUUGAGGGGGCCAAUCUUUACCCUGCAUUUUAGCAACACAGUGUCUCAGUGGCGAAAGUUGAUUGUGUGCAUUAGAAGUGGUUCAGGCGACCAGAGGGCGGAAUCCAGGGGAUUCCUACUGAGUUGUCUGUCAACUUGUGUGUCUGUUUAUUUUUUAUUUAAUACCACCGCACGACACUUUUCCAUGUUAUUACAAAUUCCAUAGAAAAAUGCUAGGGAAGCUUCCCUAGGGGCUGAGGGUCAGGCCUCACUGGACGGACGCUGGGCUGACGUGGCCCUCACCUGAAGUCACAUGCUGAACUGCUGUGGGCUUGGUUUCUGAGGCUCAGUGUCAGGUCACCUAAUGCUCGGCCACCCUGGACAGCCUUUGUUUCUUUUCCCAGUGUCCAGUCAUGCUGGAUGUGUUAGCCUGCCGGGGCUGUGGUAACAAAGCCCCUCAAAGCGAGAAGCUUCAGUGACAGAGUCGCACCGUCUCGUGCUGCUGGAGGCUGGAGCCUGGGGCCUGGGGUCUGCGGCCUGUUCCUUCUGAGGGGAUCCACUCCAGCCCUCUCCCAGCCUCUGGUAGCCUGAGUGGUCCCUGGACUUAGAUGGCGGCUCCCUGUGCGUCUACCUCGCCUUCCUGAUGUACAUGUCAAUGUCCAAAUUUCUUGUUUUUAUAGACAAACAGUCAUGGCCACCUUAAUAACUCCAACUAACCCGGCUUAUUUUCCAGGUAAAGACCCUAUUUCCAAACAAGGUCAUGCUCUCAGGUGCUGGAGGUCAGGACCUCAACAUCUUUUGUGGGGAUACAAGGUAACCCAUAGCAUUGGCAAAUGGCCCAGGCCAUUCUGGGGCAGGCUUGGGAGAAGGGUCACCAUAUACCUUGUGGCCUUGCUCUAAGACCCCUCCCCAAGGGACCUGGACUCCAUUCUCAUUGAGGGUCUGUGGGUCCCACAUCAACCCUGGCUCCAAAGCCUGGGGCCACUGGACUUCUGAAGGAUGCCGUGGGCCCCUUCAGUCUGUCUUUCUUUUUUAGAU